RNAcentral lists this unclassified non-coding RNA (253 nucleotides) under Pasteurellaceae bacterium I48. RNAcentral's name for it is "partial RNaseP". The record is from RNAcentral. Lineage: Bacteria; Pseudomonadati; Pseudomonadota; Gammaproteobacteria; Pasteurellales; Pasteurellaceae.
UAAGCCGGGUUCUGUCGUGGACAAUCAUUCCUCUAGGCUUGCAUUUACACACAAGCUCAAGCAACCUACCCGAACUCUCGGCGGGCCACCGAUUGAGUUCCUAUUUGGUCUUGCUACGAGUGGAGUUUACCUAGCUGCCAAAUGUUACCACUGGCACGGUGCGCUCUUACCGCACCCUUUCACCCUUACCAGCCAAAGCUGGCGGUCUGCUCUCUGUUGCACUAGUCGUAGGCUCGAGCCCCCCGGAUGUAUC